RNAcentral lists this microRNA (21 nucleotides) under Mus musculus (house mouse). RNAcentral's name for it is "mmu-miR-7009-3p". The record is from miRBase by way of RNAcentral. Lineage: Eukaryota; Metazoa; Chordata; Mammalia; Rodentia; Muridae.
UCUUUUCCCCUCUCCCUGCAG